Molecule: ribosomal RNA, 780 nt
Filed under: Bacillus altitudinis
Lineage: Bacteria; Bacillati; Bacillota; Bacilli; Caryophanales; Bacillaceae
Description: bacterial SSU rRNA
Rfam family: Bacterial small subunit ribosomal RNA
Source: RNAcentral
GGCGAGCUUCGCUCCCGGAUGUUAGCGGCGGACGGGUGAGUAACACGUGGGUAACCUGCCUGUAAGACUGGGAUAACUCCGGGAAACCGGAGCUAAUACCGGAUAGUUCCUUGAACCGCAUGGUUCAAGGAUGAAAGACGGUUUCGGCUGUCACUUACAGAUGGACCCGCGGCGCAUUAGCUAGUUGGUGAGGUAACGGCUCACCAAGGCGACGAUGCGUAGCCGACCUGAGAGGGUGAUCGGCCACACUGGGACUGAGACACGGCCCAGACUCCUACGGGAGGCAGCAGUAGGGAAUCUUCCGCAAUGGACGAAAGUCUGACGGAGCAACGCCGCGUGAGUGAUGAAGGUUUUCGGAUCGUAAAGCUCUGUUGUUAGGGAAGAACAAGUGCAAGAGUAACUGCUUGCACCUUGACGGUACCUAACCAGAAAGCCACGGCUAACUACGUGCCAGCAGCCGCGGUAAUACGUAGGUGGCAAGCGUUGUCCGGAAUUAUUGGGCGUAAAGGGCUCGCAGGCGGUUUCUUAAGUCUGAUGUGAAAGCCCCCGGCUCAACCGGGGAGGGUCAUUGGAAACUGGGAAACUUGAGUGCAGAAGAGGAGAGUGGAAUUCCACGUGUAGCGGUGAAAUGCGUAGAGAUGUGGAGGAACACCAGUGGCGAAGGCGACUCUCUGGUCUGUAACUGACGCUGAGGAGCGAAAGCGUGGGGAGCGAACAGGAUUAGAUACCCUGGUAGUCCACGCCGUAACGAUGAGUGCUAAGUGUUAGGGGGUUUCCGCC